This 1372-nucleotide long non-coding RNA is filed under the name Homo sapiens (human). RNAcentral's name for it is "long non-coding RNA NONHSAT229288". The record is from RNAcentral. Lineage: Eukaryota; Metazoa; Chordata; Mammalia; Primates; Hominidae.
AAAAAUUGUAUAUAAUUUUAGGCACCACACUCUAAAGGGAACAUUGAAAACUUGAAGCAGGUCAAGAAGAAAAAAACUGAGGUAUGGAGAAAACUUGAAAUUAUAUUGUAGGAAGAAUGUUGGAGGAACUGCAGAUGUUUACCUGGGAGAAGAGUGAAAGGAUGGGAGGGAAGAGGUGAGGAAGUAGACAUGGAAAUUACUGUAUGGAUAUUUGCAAGGCUGCUACUAUGUAGGAGACUUAUUUUUUAUGACUCUGGGUUGGCAGAACUGCCCAAAAACAGAUUUUUGCCUUAAUUUAAGGAAAAACUUGUCCCUUAGAACUGUCUGACAAAAGGAAUGGAGAAAUGGGCUGCCUCUGGAGUAGCGAGUGUUCCAGCAUGGACUGGAUUGGCACUUAUUGGAGGUGUUGCAGUGAAAGUUCAUUCAUUGGAUAAGUGUUGGAUUAAAUGACCUCCAGGUUCCCCUUUCAACUCAGAAAGUCAGUGACUUAAAUUCUGAUCCCUACUUACCAAUAAUCACUGAAUAGAUUUGACAGUGAUGCAUUCUUUUGUGUUGCCUGUUCUUCCAAUUGUUAUUUCCUUAGUAACACUCCUCCCGCCCCUGGCAGGUUGUAACAGUUAUGAUAGCAAUGAUUUGUAGUGACUGCCAACCCUCAGGGAACCAGGAUACUAUAGAUUCAUAGGGUUAUAAGGGACCUUAAAGGUCAUUUAGUCCAGUCUUGUAGACUUGAUUCUCUAGGGAUAUCUGGCCACUUUUUUAGUGGGUAUUUUUUAAGACAGUUAGUUUAUAAUGUUACUCUAAACUGACUUGAUUUUUUAGUAAAAUUGACUGGUAUCAGAAAACUGGUGUAAGAAAGCUGGCAUGUGGGAAGUACUCUUGGAAGGGAACAAGAUAACAGCUGUCCACUUCUAAAGGCCUUGUAGGUUUCGUUCUCUGGCAUCAUUAACAUUAGCAGAGUAAUACAAUAGUAAUAACCUUGCUAGGCCUAAUUAAUUUUUCUCUGCUUUCUUUAUCUCAUAUUAAUGAGUUUUCAUAAAAAUAAGAGAAGAUUUUAAUUCUUUUUUUCCCUCACAUUAUCAAUUUGGGACACUGGCCAUUCCAGUGAUGGCUGUCAUUGAGUCAGGAAUCUUGUUUUCAAGAUUAAAAUUUUAUCAUUUGUAUGUAGAUCAUUAGAAUACAAAAUGCCCUCCCCCACUUUUGCCAUUUUUGCUAGAAUUGGUGUCAGAAUAGAUUCAGUUAGGAGCAAAGUUCAGACACACAUGUUGAUUCAGGGAUCAGAGUCCAACAGGUAAAAGGCUAGAACUACCGUAACAAAUCAAUGCUGUUUUAUUUUUAUGUUGUGUUUAACUAAAGGACAUUCUGUAUUGACAGG